This 247-nucleotide ribosomal RNA is filed under the name uncultured bacterium. Its description in RNAcentral is "partial 16S ribosomal RNA". It matches the Rfam family "Bacterial small subunit ribosomal RNA", at positions 86 to 334 of the family's 1533-position model. The record is from RNAcentral.
UUGGCUCGAGUGGCGAACGGGUGAGUAACACGUGAGUAACCUGCCCUUGACUUUGGGAUAACUUCAGGAAACUGGGGCUAAUACCGGAUAGGAGCUCCUGCUGCAUGGUGGGGGUUAGAAAGUUUCGGCGGUUGGGGAUGGACUCGCGGCUUAUCAGCUUGUUGGUGGGGUAGUGGCUUACCAAGGCUUUGACGGGUAGCCGGCCUGAGAGGGUGACCGGCCACAUUGGGACUGAGAUACGGCCCAG